Molecule: non-coding RNA, 72 nt
Organism: Phrynosoma platyrhinos (Desert horned lizard)
Lineage: Eukaryota; Metazoa; Chordata; Lepidosauria; Squamata; Phrynosomatidae
Source: the annotation of a GenBank genome assembly
GCCAGUGUGAUAUAACGGUUUGAACAUUAGAUGGCAACUCUGGAGACCAAGGUUCAAAUCCCUGCUCUGCCA